Molecule: ribosomal RNA, 411 nt
Filed under: Fusobacterium periodonticum
Lineage: Bacteria; Fusobacteriati; Fusobacteriota; Fusobacteriia; Fusobacteriales; Fusobacteriaceae
Description: bacterial SSU rRNA
Rfam family: Bacterial small subunit ribosomal RNA
Source: RNAcentral
GAUGAACGCUGACAGAAUGCUUAACACAUGCAAGUCUACUUGAACUUCGGUUUGGGUGGCGGACGGGUGAGUAACGCGUAAAGAACUUGCCUCACAGUUAGGGACAACAUUUGGAACGAAUGCUAAUACCUGAAAUUAUGAUUUUAGGGCAUCCUAAGAUUAUGAAAGCUAUAUGUGCUGUGAGAGAGCUUUGCGUCCCAUUAGCUAGUUGGAGAGGUAACGGCUCACCAAGGCGAUGAUGGGUAGCCGGCCUGAGAGGGUGAACGGCCACAAGGGGACUGAGACACGGCCCUUACUCCUACGGGAGGCAGCAGUGGGGAAUAUUGGACAAUGGACCAAAAGUCUGAUCCAGCAAUUCUGUGUGCACGAUGACGUUUUUCGGAAUGUAAAGUGCUUUCAGUUGGGAAGAAA